Molecule: ribosomal RNA, 253 nt
Filed under: uncultured bacterium
Lineage: Bacteria
Description: partial 16S ribosomal RNA
Rfam family: Bacterial small subunit ribosomal RNA
Source: RNAcentral
UACAGAGGGUGCGAGCGUUAAUCGGAAUUACUGGGCGUAAAGCGUGCGUAGACGGCUAUCUAAGUCGGGUGUGAAAGCCCCGGGCUCAACCUGGGAAUUGCAUUCGAGACUGAAUAGCUAGGGUACGGUAGAGGGAAGUGGAAUUUCCGGUGCAGCGGUGAAAUGCGUAGAUAUCGGAAGGAACAUCAGUGGCGAAAGCGACUUCCUGGACCAGUACCGACGUUCAGGCACGAAAGCGUGGGGGGCAAACAGG